RNAcentral lists this ribosomal RNA (497 nucleotides) under uncultured bacterium. RNAcentral describes it as "partial 16S ribosomal RNA". It matches the Rfam family "Bacterial small subunit ribosomal RNA", at positions 28 to 507 of the family's 1533-position model. The record is from RNAcentral.
GAUGAACGCUGGCGGCGUGCCUAAUACAUGCAAGUCGAGCGAACGGACGAGAAGCUUGCUGCUCUGAUGUUAGCGGCGGACGGGUGAGUAACACGUGGAUAACCUACCUAUAAGACUGGGAUAACUUCGGGAAACCGGAGCUAAUACCGGAUAAUAUUUUGAACCGCAUGGUUCAAAAGUGAAAGGCGGUCUUGCUGUCACUUAUAGAUGGAUCCGCGCUGCAUUAGCUAGUUGGUAAGGUAACGGCUUACCAAGGCAACGAUGCAUAGCCGACCUGAGAGGGUGAUCGGCCACACUGGAACUGAGACACGGUCCAGACUCCUACGGGAGGCAGCAGUAGGGAAUCUUCCGCAAUGGGCGAAAGCCUGACGGAGCAACGCCGCGUGAGUGAUGAAGGUCUUCGGAUCGUAAAACUCUGUUAUUAGGGAAGAACAUAUGUGUAAGUAACUGUGCACAUCUUGACGGUACCUAAUCAGAAAGCCACGGCUAACUACGUG